UACAGAGGUCUCAAGCGUUGUUCGGAUUCAUUGGGCGUAAAGGGUGCGUAGGCGGCGCGGUAAGUCGGGUGUGAAAUCUCGGAGCUUAACUCCGAAACUGCAUUCGAUACUGCCGUGCUUGGGGACUGGAGAGGAGACUGGAAUUUACGGUGUAGCGGUGAAAUGCGUAGAUAUCGUAAGGAAGACCAGUGGCGAAGGCGGCUCACUGGCCCGGAACUGACGCUGAGGUGCGAAAGCGUGGGGAGCAAACAGG
RNAcentral lists this ribosomal RNA (253 nucleotides) under uncultured bacterium. Its description in RNAcentral is "partial 16S ribosomal RNA". It matches the Rfam family "Bacterial small subunit ribosomal RNA", at positions 524 to 776 of the family's 1533-position model. The record is from RNAcentral.